Molecule: ribosomal RNA, 254 nt
Filed under: uncultured bacterium
Lineage: Bacteria
Description: partial 16S ribosomal RNA
Rfam family: Bacterial small subunit ribosomal RNA
Source: RNAcentral
UACGGGGGGAGCAAGCGUUGUUCGGAUUUACUGGGCGUAAAGGGCGCGUAGGCGGCCACUGCAAGUCAGUUGUGAAAUCUCCGGGCUUAACCCGGAAAGGUCAACUGAUACUGCAGGGCUAGAGUGCAGAAGGGGCAACUGGAAUUCCUGGUGUAGCGGUGAAAUGCGCAGAUAUCAGGAGGAACACCGGUGGCGAAGGCGGGUCUCUGGGCAACAACUGACGCUGAGGAGCGAAAGCGUGGGGAGCGAACAGG